Molecule: ribosomal RNA, 274 nt
Filed under: uncultured bacterium
Lineage: Bacteria
Description: partial 16S ribosomal RNA
Rfam family: Bacterial small subunit ribosomal RNA
Source: RNAcentral
AUACGGAGGGUCCAAGCGUUAUCCGGAAUCAUUGGGUUUAAAGGGUGCGCAGGCGGUUUAUUAAGUCAGUGGUGAAAUCUCGGGGCUCAACCUCGAAACUGCCAUUGAUACUGAUAAACUUGAGUUCAGUUGGAGUAGGCGGAAUGUGUAGUGUAGCGGUGAAAUGCUUAGAUAUUACGCAGAACACCGAUAGCGAAGGCAGCUUACUAAACUGAUACUGACGCUGAGGCACGAAAGCGUGGGGAGCGAACAGGAUUAGAAACCCCGGUAGUCC